Fukomys damarensis (Damara mole-rat) is the source of this 814-nucleotide long non-coding RNA. RefSeq lists it as uncharacterized. NCBI's taxonomy places the organism in Eukaryota, Metazoa, Chordata, Mammalia, Rodentia, Bathyergidae. The record is from RefSeq and is a predicted model, not a curated record. The transcript is spliced from 5 exons.
GGCCCUUGGGCGGCUUGUUGGGGCGCGGAACGGCGGCGCUCAUCCUGACCGUUGCGCCUGUGGAGGUUUGACCUUGGGUAAGGCGCCCAUCCCCAGUUUCCACCUCCAAAAGGAAGAAUUCUGGAUGGUGUGGACGCUUAUGGGAUAAUGCAUGUGAGCGAGGGAUCUGUGGGUGCAACUUCACCCCAGCACCUGGAGAAACGUCUCAGAAACUAGGAAACUAAGCAAACUGUCAUGAAGCUUCUGCCCACAUCCCUGCUAUGUACCCCGCCCGCGCCCAGCCCGGAACCUGACACACGGAGCAGGCAGAGCUCAGUACACAGCCCUGCAGCUGCACCUUCUCCAGUCUGGGCCGGGCCGCCCUCCUCGCUGUCCCCGACGCCAGCACGGAAGUAGUGGACAUUGAAACUACUAUUUUGGUGCAUUUGUCGUAUUUGAAGCUGGCCGUGUUAUGGUCUGACACACAGUAGGGCGGCCUGAUGUCGUGUGCAGCCUGUGAAUCUUUCCACACUCGGGCACCUGUGAAGUCGCCACCGUCAGGGCGCAGGACCCUGCCAGUCACCCCUCAGGCUCCCUUCCACACCCAGAGGACCCCCGUUCCGACCUCCACCACUAUUGAUUAGUUUCUCCCACUUUUCUGCCCGGCUUGUUACACUCAAUACAAUGUCUUGGAGAUUCUUCGAUUUUUGAAUUCUUGGAUUUUGUCGCGCGUGGCAAUGGUUAUUUCCUGGAGCGCGUGCCGCAGUCUGUUAUACGUUUCCCACUGAUGGCAUCUGCACCGUCACCAGUUUGGGGCUGUGAUAAUAAAACCGUU